RNAcentral lists this ribosomal RNA (111 nucleotides) under Caerostris extrusa. Lineage: Eukaryota; Metazoa; Arthropoda; Arachnida; Araneae; Araneidae. The record is from RNAcentral.
ACGGCCAUACCAUGCUGAAUAUACCGGUUCUCGUUAGAUCACCGAAGUCAAGCAUCAUUGGGCGCGGCCAGUACUUGGGUUAGUGACCACCUGAACACACCGCGUGCCGUU